CUGGAAUACUGGUGGUUCCGUUAAAAGUGCCAGUGGUGACUGUCCUCAGUGAACUUUCGAUAUACCGUGAAGAUGGAUUUUCUGAUGGAGCUGACAUCAAUUGUGGCAAAGAUGCCUAGUUCUCCACUUGGCUUUCUACCCCCUCUGAAUUGGUUUUAGAAACUCAUGGCCAACAUGAGUGUCGGCCCUGGAAAAGGAAGCUGAAAGAAACGACUGCCUUCCGAAGAUCUGUGGCACCUCUAACCCAGGGCCGUUUUGUAUAGAAAACAACUUGAAGUACUAAACCCAAGAAGAGUUCAUUGAAGGUGGCAUGACAAACUCGUUGCUCCACAGUGAUGGUCUCCCCCAUGAAGCGGCGCUGAAAGAUCACGUUAGCACAGUCCCAUGAUGUGAAAUACCACAAGUCUGCAAUUUUUCGGGCUCGAGAGCAUCGCUGGGCUGAGAGGAUGGAAAUCUUUCAGUAAUUAUACCAGUUUGUAUUCGUCUCACAUUUGGGACCAAAUACAAAACCGAUCCACUCUUUCUCCCUGUGAAUAUUCAUAAAAAACAAAGUGCCAAUUCUGGGCUAAUCAUGUAUGGAACCAAACACGUUGAUGAGUCCUAAGUAUAUACUGUCUGUAUGUAUACAUGUGAAUAUAUAUAUU
Long non-coding RNA from Suricata suricatta (meerkat), 644 nucleotides. RefSeq lists it as uncharacterized. The transcript has 5 exons. The record is from RefSeq and is a predicted model, not a curated record. Lineage: Eukaryota; Metazoa; Chordata; Mammalia; Carnivora; Herpestidae.